Molecule: transfer RNA, 87 nt
Filed under: bacterium
Lineage: Bacteria
Description: tRNA-Ser
Rfam family: tRNA
About the family: Transfer RNA (tRNA) molecules are approximately 80 nucleotides in length. Their secondary structure includes four short double-helical elements and three loops (D, anti-codon, and T loops).
Source: RNAcentral
GGAGGGUUCGCAUAGCGGUCUAGUGCGCACGCUUGGAAAGCGUGUGUGGGGUCAAACCCACCAAGAGUUCGAAUCUCUUACCCUCCG